UGUAGGUGUAAAAGUUGGUGUCCGAAC
RNAcentral lists this non-coding RNA (27 nucleotides) under Homo sapiens (human). The record is from RNAcentral. Lineage: Eukaryota; Metazoa; Chordata; Mammalia; Primates; Hominidae.